AGUCCGGGUGGUUUCUUCCGACCGACCGUCAGCACUCGACAAAUAACUGAGCAGCUGCUGGGGCCGGGAACACCGCGGGGACAGGUCAGAGCUGACCCUGAGCGACUCUACUGCCUCUCCCCGCCACGCCCACCUGCCCCCUGCGGGGUAGGACCCCGCAACCACCACUCCAGAGUCCUCUGCAGGGACUGCUGUUGCUACGGGAGAGGAAGCCAGAGGAAGGGGACGCCAUCUGGGGGAUGCUUGGGCCGUGGUGGCUGCAGAAGCAGCAGCAGCAGUGACGGCCACCGCCGCCAACCAGGGGCUUCUCCCUGGCCAGCGCAGCCACCUGGGCUCCGGGCAGCAGCAUUUUCCACGUGGCUCCUCCAAUCCUCACGAGACAGCAGCUCCCUGCAUUGCUAAUGCUCUCUGUAGGUCUGACGAUUUCCAAAAUAAGCUGGGGAAAAAGGUGUUAAGAAAAUGCAGGCGGCAUCCACUUCUAGUCAGAAGGUAGAAAAGUUACAAAAGACUGUCUCGCCCUAAAGAUGAAAACAAGCCAAACAAGCAACAAAAUCAAAGGUAAAGCCAUCUGAGAGCUGGCAAUGCAAAGGGACCUAAAUUAAUCAAAAUGCAGACAGGACGAGCCCUUCCUUGGGGAAGGAGCCCACAGCUUUCACCCUGGUGCGAGGCAGCAGGGCGGGAUGCCCUGCGUGAGGGGAAAUGAGUGGAAGUUCAUGACCGUGUGGGGACUGGCGUGACAGAUGAGGACUCCAGGGAGCCCCAGCACAGCCCGCCUCUGCCCCCUGCCAACUCCCUCACACGGGCUUCAUGGAAGGUUGGGCGCGAGGGAGUGAGGUGCAGAGAAACCUCCUGAGGUACAGAAGUGGGGGCGAGACUGGAGAGCGGAGAGCACCCCAGUGGCCCCACAGUCUGGCGGCAGGGCUGAAUACCAGAGGCCUCCCACAGUUCCAAAAGCUGGCGACUUUAAAACAUAAAGACAUCCCUGGAAUUCUGCCAGGGCUAAGAUCCCAAGCUCUGCUGAAGGGAAAGUCCUAAUUCUACUCUGAACACAUUUAAAGCCGGUGGUAAAGAAACUCCAAUAAAAGCUGCCCCUAAACUACAGAUGAGGUUCACACAGCCCCUCCCUCUUGUGGCUCAACAGGAGAAAUGUGUGCCAUUUUCUUAUUUGUUUAUUUGUUUUAAGACAGGGUCUCACUCUGUCACCCAGGCUGGAGUGCAGUGGCUCGAACACAGUUCACUGCAGCCUCAACCUCCCAGGUUCAGGUGAUCCUCCCCACUCAGCCUCCCAAGUAGCUAGGACUACAGGUGCCAACCACCAUGCCUGGCUAAUUUUUGUAUUUUUUUUGUAGAGGUGGGGUUUCUACAAGUUGCCCAGGCUGGUCUUGAACUACUGGGCUCAAGCGAUCUGCCCACCUUGGCCUCCCAAAGUGCUAGGAUUACAGGCCUGAGCCAUGGUGCCCAGCCUAAGUGUGCCAUUUUCUGAGGAAAAACUUUAUUUACCUCAGUCUCUAAUGUUCUUUUAUACAAAAUAGCUGGCAUACAAUAAAAUUGUAAAACACAUGAAGAACUGGUAACAGAGCAGACUCAGAGAUGAACCAGAUGAUGGAACUAUCAGACAGAGACGUUAAGAUAACCAUGGUAAAUGUGUGAAAGGACUUGGUGGAAAAGGUGGACAACAUGCAUGAACACAUGAGACACAGAGAUGAAAAGUCUAUUAAAAAAAACACAACUAAAUGAAAAUGCUACCAAUAAAAAAUACAAUGUAAGAAAUAAAUAAUUCAUUUGUUGGGCUUGACAGCAGUUACAAAGAAUCAGUGAACAUAAGGACAACUGAAAUUAUCUGAACUGAAAUACAUAGAGGAAAAAUCGUGAAAAGAAUUAAAAAAAUUCAGGUCAUUAAGAUCUAAGGAAUAGUAUCAAAUAGUAUCAAAGAGCAUGUUAUUAGCUUUCCAGACGGAGAGGAGAGCAGAAAUGGGAAGAAAUAUAAGAAAUAAUGGCUAAGAACUUUCCAAAACUAAUGAAAGAUAUUAACCCACAGACUCAAAAAAAGCACAUCAAAGCCCAUCAUAGUCAAACUACUAAAACCCAAAGGCAACAUCUUAAAACCAGUGAAGAAAAAAGCAGACUAUAUAGAACAAAGAUAUGAAUGAUUGCUGAGUUCUCACAGAAACAAUGGAGGUCAAAAGGCAAUGGGAAAAAAACACAUUUAAAGCCUUGAAAGAAACAAUGUCAACCUAGAACUCUACAUCCAGCAAAGACACCCCUAAAAAUGAAGACAAAAUAAAAACAUUUUCAGGCAGACCAAAGCUGAGAGAAUUAGUCUACAGCAGACGUGCACUGUAAGAAAUGCUAAAAGUACUCAGGCAGAAGGGGCAUGAUACCAGAUAGAAACUCACAUAUGGAAGAAGAAACAAGGAGUAAGAGAAAGGGUAAAUAUAAAAGACAUUUUCUGUGUAUUCAUACGUGUAUUUCUUUAGAAGACUAGUGUCUAUUUAAGGAAAUGACAACAAUGUAUUUAUAGCAGAUGCAUAAGCAUGACAAGAGCACAAAGGCUGGGAGAAAAUAAAAGCAAUCACAAUAUUGUAAGAUUCUUUUUUUUUUUUUCUUUUGAGAUGGAGUCUCGCUCUGUUGCCCAGGCUGGAGUGCAGUGGCACGACCUUGGCUCACUGCAACCUCCACCUCCUGGGUUCAAGUGAUUCUUCUGCCUCAGCCUCUCGAGCAGCUGGGAUUAGAAGUGUGUGCCACCAUGCCUGGCUAAUUUUUGUAUUUUUAGUAGAGACAGGGUUGUAGAGAUGGGGUUUUUGCCAUGUUGACCAGGCUAGUCUGGAACUCCUGACCCCAAGUGAUUCACCUGCCUCGGCCUCCGAAACUGCUGGGAUUACAGGCAUGAGCCACUGCCCCAGGCCAUAAGAUUCUUAUAUUGUCCAUUAAGUAUCAUAUUAUUAUUUGAAAGUAGAAUAGGACAAGUUAAAGUUACACAUUGUAAUCUUUGGAGCAGCCUUUUUCAUCCAGGGUUCCGGGAAAUGAUUAAGCCCCACAAAAAAUAUUUUCAGUGAUAUCUGCUCAGUUCUCCCAAGGAGAGCACACAGAUUCACAGGAGAGGAGUUAAUUCACUGCGGAUAUAAUGGAUGCCUAAGGGAGUUAGGGCUUAAUUCUCUCUAUAGAGCCUCAGCUGAGAAGGGCUGCUCUAGAGCAACCAUGUAACACUCCACCCCUCGCCACACACAUUCAAAAGUAUAACAAAAAAUUCAAUAAAACAGAUGAAAUGCUAAAAGAUUCCUGAUUCACACAAAAGAAAGUCAAAGAAGGAGAAACAAGGGGGAAAAAAACAAAUGGGACAUAUAGAAAAGAGACAUCUAGACAGUAGAUUGAAAUGCAAUCAUAUGAUUGCUGAUAGUUAAACAUAAAUGAACUAAACACUCCAAUUAAAAGGUAAAGAUUGGCUGGGAAUGGUGGCUGACACCUGUAAUUCCAGCACUUUAGGAGGCCGAGGUGGGUGGAUUAUCUGAGGUCAGGAGUUUGAGACCAACUUGACCAACAUGGUGAAACACUGUCUCUAUUAAAAAUACAAAAAUCAGGCCAGGCAUGGUGGCUCAUGCCUGUAAUUCCAGCACUUUGGGAGGCUGAGGCAGGUGGAUCACGAGGUCAAGAGAUCGAGGCCAUCCUGGCCAACAUGGUACAAUCCCAUCUCUACUAAAAAUACAGAAGUUAGCUGGGCAUGGUGGUGCACACCUGUAGUCCCAGCUACUCGGGAGGCUGAGGCAGGAGAAUCACUUGAAUCUGGGACACAGAGGUUGCAGUGAGCUGAGAUUGCGCCACUGCACUCUACCCUGGUGACAGAAUGAGACUCCGUCUCAAAAAACAAAACGAAACAAAAAUUAGUUGGGUAUAGUGGCGUGUGCCUGUAAUCCUAGCUACUCUGGAGGCUGAGGCAGGAGAAUUGCUUGAAUCCAGGAGGCAGAAGUUGCAGUGAGCCAAGAUCACACCAUUGCACUCCAACCUGGGCAACAAGAGCGAAAUUCCACCUCAAAAAAAAAAAGGUAAAGAUUGUCCAACUGGAUAAAAAGGCAAGACCCAAGUAUAUGCUGUUUAUAAGAAAAACAUUUUAAAUAUAAAGAUACCAAUGGGUUAAAUACAAAAGGGUAGAAAAGUUAUAGCAUGCAAAUAUUAACUGUAAAAAUCUGGUUUAACUAUUUUAAUAGAAAACAGGGAUUUCAAGCCAAAAAGUACUGAAGUCACUUCAUUAUAAUGAGUCAAUUCAUCAAGAAAGCAUAACAAUCCUAAAUGUGUGCCUAAUAAAAAUUUCAAAAUACAGGAAGCAAAAAACUGAGAAUUAUAGGGAGAAAUAGGCAAAUCUACAAGUAUAGUCGGAGCUUUUAACAGCCCCCUCAAUAAAUGAUUGAGCAAUUAGAAAAAAUAGGCUAUAAAAGAUUUUUAACAGCAGUCUCAACCAUCUUGAACUAAUUGACAUUUAUAGAGCCCUAUGACUAACGACUGCAAAAUACACACUAUUUUCCAGUACAUACUGCAUGUUUGCCAAGACAGAUCUAAAAAUAGCCCCAAUGGAAUCAUCCAGAGUGUGUUGUCUGACCAAAUUAGAAAUCAGUAACAGUAACAUCUAGAAGUCCCCAAAUAUUUGGGAGUUAAACAAUACCCUUCUCAAUAAUCUAUGGAUAAAAUCAGAAACCAUAAAGAAAAUUAGAAAACAAUUCUAACUCAAUGAUAAUGAAAAUACGACGUAUUAAAAUUCACGGGACGCAGCUAACUUACUGCCUGGAAGGAAAUUUAGUUUUAAAUGCUUUGUGUGGAAGAAAAGAUGUAAAAUUAACAGCAUUAAUGUCCAUCUUCAGAAGCCAGAAGAAAGCAAAUUAAACCUCAAGCAUGCAUAGAGAAUAAUGAAUGAAAAAUCAAUGAAACAAAAGACAAUCAAUAGAGAAAUUCAACAUGAACAAUGAAAACAUGUUCACAAAAAGACUUGUCCAAGAAGUUCAUAGCAGCUUAUACUUAUAAAAGCUACAAAGUAGAAAUAACCCAAAUGUCUCUCAAAAGAAGACUGCAUAAACAAGUCAUGGGCUGUUCAGACAAUGGAGGACUUGAGCUACCGAUAUACACAACAUCCAUGUAUGAAUCCCACACACAUUGUGCCACAUGAAAGAAGAGACACUAAACGCUGUAAGCCCAUAUGACAUUGAAAUGAAAUUCAAAACCAGGCAGAAUUAAUUUACAGUGGUGAAAAAUCAGAUCAGUGGUUGCCCCUGGGAUGGGAGUGAGGGCUGACUAGAAAGGGGUCAAAGGGAGCUUUCUGGUUGAUGGAAAUGUUCUGUAACUUGUUUGGGCAGUGGGCACAUAAAACUCUAAAAACUCAUCUAACAGGACACUUCAGAUUUGUGUAUUUUAUUGUGCAUUAAUUAUACUUCAAUUAAAAACAACCAGGAAUGUGGA
Homo sapiens (human) is the source of this 5442-nucleotide non-coding RNA. NCBI's taxonomy places the organism in Eukaryota, Metazoa, Chordata, Mammalia, Primates, Hominidae. The record is from RefSeq and is a predicted model, not a curated record.